AUCUAAAAGAUGAUCUCUGACCUGCAAAGGUCAUCAUUCUCAGUUCUUCGCUGUUUGAGCAGGCAGAAAUACCCGAGUGCUUAGCACAAACACUGCAAUAUGAAUCACUGCUUCCUGCUAGUUUUGACAAAGCUGAAUGUUUUUCCUUUCUGGUUUGGCUAAAGCUGUUUGAUACAGUUGAGUCUUGAAUCACGCUGAUGCUGCCACCCGCUGAAAACCAAUGACUCAACAAAAUCAUUGCGAAGUUGGGUUGCUUUGUUGAAAUAAAGGAGUUUUACUAAGUUGAAUGGAAUGGGACAGAUUAACCAAUUCCGGAUUUUACAAAUAUGGGCCAGAUUUCUUCAAUUCACUGCCUUGUAGCCUGGGUAAUGUUUAUUAACCUGGGUUAGAAUUUUACGUGUUGAUCUAAGUGAAUGAUUUUAGGUAUGAUUGUGUGUAUGAAACGGGUUUUUGAUGUUAAAAAAAAUUGAAAUCAAUUUUUAGCAAUUUCGUGUUUGAGACUUAUGAGGAAUUCAAGAAAUGAGUGUUGCAGUUUUGUUGUUAUGCUUUAGAGUUGGUUGUACGUCAAGUGCCUUAUCAGUAAUGUAUUGGAAGCUCUGUUCUGUCUUCAUGUCCACUUGUUUUCUUUCCUGUCUCCACAUCACAGAUCUAACCCUAAGACUAGUAUCUCCAUAACUCCUCUUCUUUCUAAAUUACCUUCCUUUCAAACUGACCCUCAUUCCACCACCACGUUCUUUUUUACUAACCCAGACCAACCGCCAACCUCGCUUCCCCAGUGAUACAGAAGAAACAGCUGUGUCCUAAUUACAGUGUUAUUUGUUUCUUAUUUUGUAUUUUUUUGUUCAAUGAUGCCUAAGUAUUGUUAUUAACAAUAAAAACAAAGAUCAUGAAUCACAA
Long non-coding RNA from Sander lucioperca (pikeperch), 897 nucleotides. RefSeq lists it as uncharacterized. The record is from RefSeq and is a predicted model, not a curated record. The transcript has 3 exons. NCBI's taxonomy places the organism in Eukaryota, Metazoa, Chordata, Actinopteri, Perciformes, Percidae.